This 421-nucleotide ribosomal RNA is filed under the name uncultured bacterium. RNAcentral's name for it is "bacterial SSU rRNA". It matches the Rfam family "Bacterial small subunit ribosomal RNA", at positions 969 to 1392 of the family's 1533-position model. The record is from RNAcentral.
CCUUACCUACUCUUGACAUCCUGCGAACUUGGUAGAGAUACCUUGGUGCCUUCGGGAACGCAGAGACAGGUGCUGCAUGGCUGUCGUCAGCUCGUGUUGUGAAAUGUUGGGUUAAGUCCCGUAACGAGCGCAACCCUUGUCCUUAGUUGCCAUCAUUUAGUUGGGGACUCUAAGGAGACUGCCGGUGACAAACCGGAGGAAGGCGGGGACGACGUCAAGUCAUCAUGGCCCUUACGAGUAGGGCUACACACGUGCUACAAUGGCAAGUACAGAGGGCCGCGAAGCCGCGAGGUGGAGCUAAUCUCACAAAGCUUGUCGUAGUCCGGAUUGGAGUCUGCAACUCGACUCCAUGAAGUCGGAAUCGCUAGUAAUCGCAAAUCAGAAUGUUGCGGUGAAUACGUUCCCGGGUCUGUACACACCG